ACAGGUCUUUGGAUUGUUAGGAGCUGCUCCUGAGUUUUAUUCCCAUUUGAACCUGAUUUAGAUGAUGUGAUCCUGGUCUUCAAGCCUGAUGAUAUAUUGGGGUGAGACUUUGGAGAUCUUGGAAUGCAAUUUGGCAAGACUCAAGUGCAGCUCUCUGACCUGGCUUUGCACCCCGAGAAAAAGUCUUAGCCCAUCAGAAUCUCUGCCUUCUUUCUGGUUGCAUUAGAGGCAAUGAGCAGAUGAUCUACUCUUUCACUUGGGACCAGAGAAAAUCAGCAGAUGAAAGGAAAAUUGAUGAAGUUUUUGGCACAAAAAAUCAUACCAAGGUUGUUAAAAAUGGGGUGGCAUAUCACAAGUGAAUCAAGGAAGAUUUGGGAUAACAUUGACCAGGUGGCCUCUGAUGACUGCUGAGGAACAAGAACCAUUUCUCCUUCAAGACUGGGAUGGAAACGCAUCUCGUGCACAGACAACUUGCAGUGCAGAUUUUCCUGAACCACUUUGUUUACUUAACAUGGCUGACUGGCUGUGAGGGCCUGGGUGUCAGACUACAUUAGCAUGCACGUACAUGUAAAAUUAAUCAACAGACCUAGCAACGCGCAGCAUAGUCCCCUUAGAGCCUGGGGUUAAAUAUCUGUCUGGAGUGAUGUUUCCUAAAAAGCUGUAUGUAAUGGCCUGAAGAGCUCAGAGUAGGCACUUAGUGGGAAAGGAAGGGCAAGACAGACACUUGAGGGGAGGUGCUGGGUUGCAGUGGACUGACAAUCUCACCAUCAUACCGAAGGUUACAACCUUAGACUCCGAAAGCUUUUAAAGCUUCUUGCAUCUGUGUUGCCUGACUGCCUUUAGCAUUAAGCACUUAUGACCACGAUGCUCUGAACAUAUGUCUUUUUCCAGAGUUUCUUUAACGUGGAUGAAAAUGUUUGCAUCUUUCUGAAAUAUCCAUCCCAUAUGUCACAGCUUUAACUUUGUUGGAUUGGGCUGAACUGUUUGUUUUUUCCAAGUUUUGCCAUUGUAAAGUUGAACAAGUAAGGUUUAGAUACAUUUUGCAGUGGUUUAAAACAACAGCGAGUUUUCUUCCUAAUAUUUGACAAAGUUCGUGAUGAGUUAGAAAGCAGCAUGGGAUAAUUGAAAGACCAUGACCUUUGGAUUCAAAUCUGGGCUCUACUAUGUAUUAGCUGUGUGAAUCAUCCAGCAUCCUUGUCCAUUGAACCACACCAUGCCAUCUCCUGAAGAACAGCAUCUCUAAGUCUAUAGUUGGGAUUAUAUGGAUCCUGUUUUAUUCGGAAGGUGCUCUAUAAGAUUAGGUACUCUGGAACCAGUUCAAGAAAUCAAUCUUAUUCGGUUGCUACCGUGACUAAUAGUCCUAAAGAAACUGAUUUGUGUUCUGACACUCCACAAGUAUCCAAAUAAUUAACAAUGAGGGAGGGAAACUUUAAAAGUGGCAGAAUAACUCCUUCCAUUUAGCAAUGUGAAUGCUGCUUGGAAAAUAUAGCAAAAUGAUAAUAAACUCAUCCAAAGACGAUAUAUUUAGAAUAGAGAAGAUUUAGAGACAUGCGUGGGAGAGAUUUCCUGGGGUGAACAGACGCAUCACCAAGCAUCAGUCAUUUGGAAGUGAGUAAUAGUCAGCUGUCAUUGAGUUGAAUAGCAGGGUUUCUUGGUCAAUGCAAUAUUUGCACUGAAUGUUUGAAGGUGCUCUAUUAGUAAAAUAAGAAAGAAAGUGAUUAGGUUUUUAUACAAGUUUCCCAAAAUUAGUCUCAUUAAA
This is a long non-coding RNA of Diceros bicornis minor, 1759 nucleotides long. RefSeq lists it as uncharacterized. The transcript has 4 exons. NCBI's taxonomy places the organism in Eukaryota, Metazoa, Chordata, Mammalia, Perissodactyla, Rhinocerotidae. The record is from RefSeq and is a predicted model, not a curated record.